UAGGGAAUCUUCGGCAAUGGGGGCAACCCUGACCGAGCAACGCCGCGUGAGUGAAGAAGGUUUUCGGAUCGUAAAGCUCUGUUGUAAGUCAAGAACGGGUGUGAGAGUGGAAAGUUCACACUGUGACGGUAGCUUACCAGAAAGGGACGGCUAACUACGUGCCAGCAGCCGCGGUAAUACGUAGGUCCCGAGCGUUGUCCGGAUUUAUUGGGCGUAAAGCGAGCGCAGGCGGUUUGAUAAGUCUGAAGUUAAAGGCUGUGGCUCAACCAUAGUUCGCUUUGGAAACUGUCAAACUUGAGUGCAGAAGGGGAGAGUGGAAUUCCAUGUGUAGCGGUGAAAUGCGUAGAUAUAUGGAGGAACACCGGUGGCGAAAGCGGCUCUCUGGUCUGUAACUGACGCUGAGGCUCGAAAGCGUGGGGAGCGAACAGGAUUAGAUACCCUGGUAGUCCACGCCGUAAACGAUGAGUGCUAGGUGUUGGAUCCUUUCCGGGAUUCAGUGCCGCAGCUAACGCAUUAAGCACUCCGCCUGGGGAGUACGACCGCAAGGUUGAAACUCUAAAGUGAUUGAC
Molecule: ribosomal RNA, 569 nt
Filed under: uncultured bacterium
Lineage: Bacteria
Description: partial 16S ribosomal RNA
Rfam family: Bacterial small subunit ribosomal RNA
Source: RNAcentral